RNAcentral lists this long non-coding RNA (992 nucleotides) under Glycine max (soybean). RNAcentral's name for it is "long non-coding RNA (GMAX_LNC004636)". Lineage: Eukaryota; Viridiplantae; Streptophyta; Magnoliopsida; Fabales; Fabaceae. The record is from RNAcentral.
UCCUUCCUUGCAAGAAGUUGCAGUAGAAUGAUAAAAAAAACUCAACUUGACAAUAGCCUUUUGACUUCCUACUUGCCUUUUCAUUGAAAAACUUCACCUCCUACAUAGACUCAUACUUACUAAGCUCUGCAUUAGUAGUCCACCAAUGAAAAUCACCCACAAACAAUAUAGUACCACCUAAACCAGUAGCACCUCCAAUUCCUCUAGUAUUAACACUACUAACAACACUCACAUUGUUUCCAAUAUCAUUUCCAUCAACCCUAUUAACAUUCCCUCUUCCUCCACCGCCACCAACACCACCUUGACCUUAUCUCACCAAACCUCAUUUCCCACAAUCCCAACAACCCUACCAUGUGGUUGCUAUGCAAUCCCUUGCACUGCAGCACCAUCAUUCCCACCUUGUUCCUCAAUUUCACUCAAAUUUCUAGAUUGGUGUACCCUAAUUCCACCUUUGGCACCCACCUCAUUCCCUCUAAACCCUUGAUUCUGAAACCCAUCAACCCUCCCCAACAUGGUGGGGUUGCAAUUGCGGUAGAAGAGGGGGUGGUGGGCACUGCGGCCGAUGGUAGUUGUGGAGUUGCACGAAGGGGCGCUGGGGUUGCUGGUGGUGUGUGUUGAUGAUAAGGUUGGUGAUAGAGGUAGUUGCACACUGGCUGAGAACUCAAACACGGUGGAGGAGAUGACGUACAAACCUGAGAACACCACAAAAACCAUUAGCACCUUCGACCUUCGAGAGAGAGAUUUGGAAAGACCAAACUUUUCCACUGCCAAACCCAAGCUCCAGUAAAGAAAGAUUGGGGCUGCUUCAUAAUCCCACCUUUUUCAUUUAAAUUGAAUUAAAAUAUGGUGUCAUGUUAAACGACACGUGAUCAACUGACAUAUCACACUUAAUCCAACGUGACAUCACAGGUAGUUUGUAGAUGUAUCAAGUUAACGAUUACAUCAGUAAUUAACGGAUCUCUUUUAACAGCAGAGACCUUGUAUAAAACUUU